This 404-nucleotide ribosomal RNA is filed under the name uncultured bacterium. RNAcentral describes it as "bacterial SSU rRNA". It matches the Rfam family "Bacterial small subunit ribosomal RNA", at positions 355 to 776 of the family's 1533-position model. The record is from RNAcentral.
UGGGGAAUUUUCCGCAAUGGGCGAAAGCCUGACGGAGCGACGCCGCGUGGAGGAUGACGGUCUUCGGAUUGUAAACUCCUGUCAAGGGGGACGAUAAUGACGGUACCCCUGGAGGAAGCAUCGGCUAACUACGUGCCAGCAGCCGCGGUAAGACGUAGGAUGCGAGCGUUGUUCGGAUUUAUUGGGCGUAAAGCGUGCGUAGGCGGCUGUUUAAGUCUGGUGUUAAAGCUAGGGGCUCAACCCCUGUGAUGCACUGGAAACUGGGCAGCUUGAGUGUGGUAGGGGAAGGUGGAAUUCCUAGUGUAGCGGUGAAAUGCGUAGAUAUUAGGAAGAACACCGGUGGCGAAGGCGACCUUCUGGGCCACUACUGACGCUGAGGCACGAAAGCGUGGGGAGCAAACAGG